GACGAACGCUGGCGGCGUGCCUAACACAUGCAAGUCGAACGGAGUUACUUCGACAGAACCCUUCGGGGGGAAGAUGAUUUAACUUAGUGGCGGACGGGCGAGUAACGCGUGAAUAACCUGCCCAUAAGAGGGGGAUAACACAGAGAAAUUUGUGCUAAUACCGCAUAUUGAGAUUUAAUCGCAUGAUUUUAUCUUGAAAGAUUUUAUUCGCUUAUGGAUGGAUUCGCGUAAGAUUAGCUAGUUGGUGAGGUAACGGCUCACCAAGGCGACGAUCUUUAGCCGAACUGAGAGGUUGAUCGGCCGCAUUGGGACUGAGACACGGCCCAG
Molecule: ribosomal RNA, 327 nt
Filed under: uncultured bacterium
Lineage: Bacteria
Description: bacterial SSU rRNA
Rfam family: Bacterial small subunit ribosomal RNA
Source: RNAcentral